UUAAUAUGUAAGUAUUUAAAACCAUUAUUAUUUAUUACCAAUCAAUAUUUAUAUUGUUGGGUAAACAAAUUUCGGAACAUCUUUCGUCUUGUUAAUGUAGCUGGCAAGCAAAGCGGCGUUAUGAAUAAAUUUAAGUUGCUAUAGAAACAAUGUUCUGUUGAUUGUCACUUGUGUCAUAGAAAAUAAAAAGAGCUAUCCAUUGUGUAUUCCUACUGUUGUAAUAAAUUAAUUUGGUGGACAAAUCUAUCUUCUAUUUUUCUACUGUAAAAUCACACUCAGCCACACGCUCACACACGUCUGACAUUGAAAAGACAGGGAUUUUUCUUGUUUUGACGUAUUUUCUAACCUCUUAGAAUGUUAUUAGAAGUCGUAAUAAAAUAAUUUGAAUAUAAAGCUAUGUUUUAAAGUAAAUAAAGACCAUUUAACGAUGUUAACAUGAUGAGACAUCGAUUUUAUGGAAUGGAGGAGAAGAUUUAACAGCUAGAAAUUAACAAAAAUCCUGCAAGAGCAUCGAGAUCUCGCUUUUGGCGAGUGGAAGUCCAAAGGCAAAGUGCAGCGGUUUGCAGUUCUUAGGCUCACUUUUUUGGACCUAACAAGACAGGAAAAGAAUAGUCAAAGAGGAAACCCGAGUAGCCAGAUGAUAAUAUAUGAAACCAUGAGCAGCCAGCCAUUGAAACUCUCAGCAAUUUGAAUAACAAUUUUGAUUG
Molecule: long non-coding RNA, 707 nt
Organism: Ostrinia nubilalis (European corn borer)
Lineage: Eukaryota; Metazoa; Arthropoda; Insecta; Lepidoptera; Crambidae
Exons: 3
Source: RefSeq, a predicted model, not a curated record